RNAcentral lists this non-coding RNA (21 nucleotides) under Caenorhabditis elegans. Lineage: Eukaryota; Metazoa; Nematoda; Chromadorea; Rhabditida; Rhabditidae. The record is from RNAcentral.
UCAAUCGAGUUUGAAAUGCAC